RNAcentral lists this non-coding RNA (148 nucleotides) under Pan paniscus (pygmy chimpanzee). The record is from Rfam by way of RNAcentral. RNAcentral also lists the same sequence under 1 other name. Lineage: Eukaryota; Metazoa; Chordata; Mammalia; Primates; Hominidae.
GCCGGGCGUGGUGGCACAUGCCUGUAAUCCCAGCUACUUGGGAGGCUGAGGCAGGAGAAUCACUUGAACCCGGGAGGUGGAGGUUGCAGUGAGCCGAGAUCGCGCCACUGCACUCUAGCCUGGGCAACAGAGUGAGACUCUGUCUCAG